AUCCUACUCCCUCCAUUCCAAAUUACUCGUUGCUGAAAUGGAUGUAUCUAAAACUAAAAUACAUCUAGAUACAUCCAUUCGUGCGACAAGUAAUUCGGAACGGAGGGAGUACCAA
This is a non-coding RNA of Triticum aestivum (bread wheat), 115 nucleotides long. The record is from Rfam. NCBI's taxonomy places the organism in Eukaryota, Viridiplantae, Streptophyta, Magnoliopsida, Poales, Poaceae.